GGUGGUUCUCUGGUGACACACCCUGGAAUCAGGCUCCCUUCUCUCUGGUUUCGGGUGUGUCACAGGAGAACUGCA
Molecule: non-coding RNA, 75 nt
Organism: Myotis brandtii (Brandt's bat)
Lineage: Eukaryota; Metazoa; Chordata; Mammalia; Chiroptera; Vespertilionidae
Source: Rfam